Molecule: ribosomal RNA, 1144 nt
Filed under: Bacillus licheniformis
Lineage: Bacteria; Bacillati; Bacillota; Bacilli; Caryophanales; Bacillaceae
Description: bacterial SSU rRNA
Rfam family: Bacterial small subunit ribosomal RNA
Source: RNAcentral
GGGGAAGGGCGGCUGCUAUACAUGCAGUCGAGCGGACAGAUGGGAGCUUGCUCCCUGAUGUCAGCGGCGGACGGGUGAGUAACACGUGGGUAACCUGCCUGUAAGACUGGGAUAACUCCGGGAAACCGGGGCUAAUACCGGAUGCUUGAUUGAACCGCAGGGUUCAAUUAUAAAAGGUGGCUUUUACCUACCACUUACAAAUGGACCCCCGGCCCAUUACCUAUUUGGUGAGGUAACGGCUCACCAGGGCAACAAUCCGUACCCAACCUAAAAGGGUGAUCGGCCACCCGGGAACGGAAACCCGGCCCAAACCCCAACGGAAGGCACCAUUAGGGAACCUCCCCCAUGGAACAAAAUUCUAACGAACCACCCCCCCGGGAUUAAUAAAGGUUUUCGAAUCGAAAAACUCUUUUGUUAGGGAAAAACAAUUACCGUUCAAAUAGGGCGGUACCUUGACGGUCCCUAACCAAAAACCCACGGCAAAUUACUUGCCACCACCCCCGGUAAUACUUAGGUGGCAACCGUUGUCCGGAAUUAUGGGGCGUAAACCCCGCCCAGGCGGUUUCUUAAUUCUAAUGUGAAACCCCCCGGCUCACCCGGGAAGGGUCAUUGAAAACGGGGAAACUUGAUUGCAAAAAAGAAAAUUGAAAUUCCACUUGUACCGUUAAAAUGCGUAAAGAUUUGAAGAAACCCAUUGGCAAAGGCAACUCUCUGGUCUGUAACUAACCCUAAGGCGCGAAACCUUGGGAAGCAAAAGGAUAAAUACCCGGGUAUUCCCCCCUUAACAAUAAUGGCUAAUUGUUAAAGGUUUCCCCCCUUUAGUGCUGCAGCAAACCAUUAGCCCUCCCCCGGGGAGUACGGUCCCAAAACGAAACUCAAAGGAUUGACGGGGGCCGCCCAACAGUGAACAAGGGUUUAUUCGAACCACCCAAAAAACUUACAAGUCUUGACUCCCCUACAACCCUAAAAUAGGGCUCCCCUUCGGGGCGAAAUGAAGGUGGUCAGGGUUGCCUCAGCCCGUCCUUAAAGUUGGGUUAGUCCCCCACCAACCAACCUUUGACUUAAUUGCACAAUCAUUUGGCACUUAGGUGCUGCAGUUACAACCGAAGAAGUAGGAAUACCUCCAAUCCAAUGCCUUAAAACG